AAUAACACCCAUCUGAGAAGCCCAAUCAUUUCACAGAGACUUGGAGAAUAGAACGCUCGUUCGCGAAAAUUCUCAUUCCAUAUUCCAUAACACUUGUACGAGUACAUAACACACUCACUCUCAGUCAAAUAUGUUGUGUGUCUUACAUUGACUAAAUUAUUCGAUUUGAAUUAAAUACCAUAUACCUAAAACAAAUCGCGUUUCGCUCUAAGCUUCGUUAGUGGUUAAAAAAUCCUUGGCUCGACGAUAUAAUCCAUCGCAAGAAUAUUUACCAAAGGUACUCUCGAAACGAAAUCAUCACAACGUGCGGGGAAAAACAAUGGAAAAGUAAAUGAAACAUCGAAGAAAUGAAUAUAAUACGUAUUCCAGAACUAUUUCGCACUGUAUUGGCUUACACAUUGAUAUUGGGAAUCAGCACAAAUUGCUCGGAUGCAAAAUCGACGGAAGAUAUCUCCGCAGUGUUUUCGCUUGAAUAUGGCCGAUUCGACCAUUUGGCAGUAGAUAAUAAGUAUGGAAGAUGGGUAUACAUAGGGUCAUACGAUCACCUUUAUCAAUUAUCAUCAGACCUGAGACUGCAAGUUGAAUACACCAGAAAGGAUCUAGUUGAUUAUUCAAAUUGUACAAAUUACGAGUGUUUGAGACAAUUUUAUGGAGAUUCCAGUUUACACAACCGAAUAUUAGUAUUGGACUAUCACUACCAGCAAUUGAUAUCGUGCGGUACUUUUUACUCAGGAUUAUGCCAUGCUCAUGAUCUCUGUGAUAUUUCAAAAAUUUUGGCAACCAAGAAUGAUCCUCGAAUGGCGAAUGAUCAACUUACACGAACAGUAGCCUUCACAACUUCUUUUUUAGUACCCAACUCAUCGAUACCAUUGCCAGCACUGUAUGUCGGCUUCGUCGACGAUUUUAUUGGCCAAGUACAGAUCAGAAAUCUUGAGCGAACGAAUUUUUUGUCAAAUCUAACAGAAUAUGCUGUGUAUGAUUCGUCGAAGAAUGCCAUAGGCCUACCCAUUCUCCAAACAAAAUUCAUUAAGGGUUUCAGUUUUCAAAACAGUAGCUACUUUCUCACCCAAGUAGAUGUCGCCGUUACACCUCCUUCAAACGCCACAAUAGCUGAUCAGCUCUUCGGAGCAGGAUACCUUAUCGAGAUAGAUCAUAAACAGGGAAAAAAUUCAUAUAACAAUGCUUUCAUUACGUGCAAUUCUAGCAUGGAGCAAUCAGAUGGUGAAUACAACCAAAUCCAGCAUGCUUACAUCUACGAGUAUGUGAAAAAAUCAAAAUCCGCAUCAGAAACAGAUUCGCUCGAAGUGAAGGAAACAUUAAUGUUAGCACUUUUCAAUCUGCAUGUCGGAGAUGGAUACACAGGGUUUGCAGUAUGUAAAUAUGAUAUGAAUAACAUACGUUUCUCCGCUCAAAACUAUCAAAUACAAAACGAAGAACUGAUAUUUUUCAACGAGGGUAAGCCAGACGUAACAGCCAUGGCAGUCACAACUGUUAACAAUCAUACUGUCCUGUUCCUAGGUACCCAAACAGGACAUCUGAAGAAAGUAUCAAUUGAAGGAAUUCAUUCACCCAAUGCUGGAACGGCAAAUUACUAUUCGGAUAUCGUAGUUGAAGAAAGAUCUCCUGUAAAUUCCGAUCUGCUGUUUGAUUUCACAAAAAACUUUUUGUAUGUAAUGACUGAAAAUAAAAUUGCCAAAGUCAAGACGUACAAUUGUGACGGAUAUAACACAUCAUACGAAUGUUUGCGCACACAAGAUCCUCAUUGCGGAUGGUGUUUCGCCAAAAAUAGAUGUAGUUUGAAAUCAGAAUGUACCGAUGAACAAAAUAGCAUCGGAUGGAUGUCGUAUCCCAUCUAUAAACACCUGAACACAUCUUCAAUUUCCAAUAACGAAUUUUUACACACAGCAGAAUGGAAUGAGACCAUUAGUUUCAUAAAAUCACAUCCUUUUGAUAAUCUCACGAUGAUAUGUAGCGAAUAUACCACGUGUUCGGCAUGUGUGACUUCAAAUUAUCCAUGCAAGUGGCAUGUGAAUAAUGAAAGCUGUACGAGUGAAACAAUCUGGAGCAAUGAUGACAUAGUAAUAGGGGCUACUUUGGAUCAGAUUCGCUCGAAAACUCGUCGAUACACAUACCAUGACAAAUUCCCGAGAGAUCAGUUUUACUGUCCACAGUUUUUUCCUACUCUUUUAUCUGAAUCGGGAAUUAUUUACAUUAAUGCUGACACAGAGAAAGAAACAACCAUUAAAAUAGGGUAUAGAAUCCCAACAGAUUCAGAGGAUGAAACAUUGACAUGUCAAUUUCACAUUGAAGGAAACAAGACCAUGCAAUAUGCAGCUUCGGUAGUUUCGAGAGGUUAUUCAGAAGGAACAAUUGAAUGUAAAAAUGUGACACUUACAUACGCUGAUCAAAAACCAAAUGUAACCAUCCAAUUGUCAAUUUUAUGGAAUGAAUCAAUACCUCUUCAUAACCCCAAAAAUAUGAGUGUAAUCUUAUAUAAAUGCCCAUACAUUGGAAUCCAGUGUAAAACAUGCCUGAGUCUGCAAUAUUGCAAAUGGAAUUCACAAGCUAAACAAUGUGAAUAUGAUAGCAAUUACAAUAAAUUGUGGAACAGUAAGGAUGAUAAAAUGAAACAAUGUCAAGAUCCAAUAAUCUCAUUCUUUACACCAAAACUAGGACCAUGGGAAGGUGGAUCUAAAGUAUCAAUCCAUAUCAGUAACUUGGGUAAUGCAUUACCUUUGUCAUGGAACAUUACAGUAGGUGAUACCCCUUGCAUGGUACAUCCACAUUCUGCUGGUGAAGCAAAUGAAAAAUUAACGUGCAUACUAAAAAAGUGCGAUUCGCCAACUAAAGAUUGUAGCGGACCAAUUAAGCUUGUUACAGAAGACUUAGUUCUAACAUCAAACACUACCUUCCAAUUUGUAGACCCCAAAAUUAAACACAUCUCACCAACAGAAGGAUCAAUGAGUGGUGGUACUGAGCUGACUAUUCAGGGCGACUAUAUGAACGCUGGUAGCACAAUCGAAGUAUAUAUCGGUGAUUUGGAAUGCGUGGUGUUUGAAAACAAUUCAAUGCAUCUGAAAUGCGUCACGGGCCCUUCUAAGCAUGCCUUCCAAAAUUACGUCACCGUGAAGUUUGACGGACACAUUCGUACCUCUGAAGAUGUCUACGAAUAUGACGAAGAAUUAGAUCCAGAAGAGAACACGCGCAAUAUACCCAGGGGUGUUCCAACAGGUGGACCAGAUACGUCAAUAAUAUUUCACCUACCUGUCGAUAAAAACUUGACAAAAGAUGAUGAAAUUCUCUUUUACAUUCACGAUGAACAGAUAAACAAAUCAUACUACAGCAGAUGCGAAAUUUCCGACGUUUCUUUGGUAUGCCCCACACCGAGCAUGUGUGAUAUUCAUACGUAUUCUCUGAACGAAAACAAACCUAAACUAAUGGAUUAUGGAUUCAAAAUGAAUACUUCAGAUGGAGUAGAACUGAAUGAUUUAAAUGUUCCCAAGAAAUACCCCACCUUUCUACUUUACCCAAAUUCAGUUCGCUAUCUCAUAGAAAACACUGCAGGUAACAAACGAAUCGUGAUCGUUAAAUACAAAAUCAUCGCGAUCAUUUUAGGAGCACUGCUAUUCGCCGUGAUCGUAAUAUUUAUCUGGUAUCAUCGAAAAUCUGCUGAAAAAUUGCGAAAAAUGCAACAACAAAUUAAUAUAAUGGAAACGGAAACGAUGGUAGCGUCACAAUUAAUGGAACCGAUAGCCAUUGGAGAAGAAUUGGAGCUGGAUGUAUCAGACUCACACAGGCUGGUACAAUCUGAUGGUACAAUUCUGAAAUAAUCUGCCUGAAAAUCAACCAAACUUUAUCAAGAUUCAGAUGCCUUACAGAUACGGACGGACGCAGUAAGUAAUCUAACAAUCCAAUUCGCAUGACUCAAAAAUAAACAGAGAUAUACUCGCAGCAAUGAAACCGAUAGUAAAUUAGCGGAUACUUGCAGAGAUUACGAUGAAAGAGGGGCGGCAAUUAUUUCUAAAAAAAUAUAUAAAUUAAGCAAUAGGUAUGCAUUACUUCUUUAAAAUCAAUCAUAAAUUUAGGUUUAUUUCAUAACAGAUAUUAUUAAAGAUAACUAUGGUAAGUAGGUACAUAAAUCACACGAAUACUGAAAAUUUGAUUCAAAAUAAAUCACUGACUCAUUAUAGUCAUUAUUUUUCUACGACCAUCGAUCUGAAUAUACCUAGACCUACACAUAUGUAAUUCAUGAGUCUGAAUUAAGUUAUGCACGUAUGUGUAGUGUAUACGUUAUUGAUAAGUAAGUUCUCAGUAAACAUUUUCCCAAACUGUA
Planococcus citri (citrus mealybug) is the source of this 4333-nucleotide RNA transcript. It is a transcript of the gene named plexin-A2-like, with no coding region annotated. The transcript has 4 exons. The record is from RefSeq and is a predicted model, not a curated record. NCBI's taxonomy places the organism in Eukaryota, Metazoa, Arthropoda, Insecta, Hemiptera, Pseudococcidae.